GAUACAGUAGCUUGUUAAGGGAUGGAUAUAAUUACCAGUGUCCUGAAACACUUCUGUGGAUGUUCAUUAGUCUGCCUUUUACAGGCUGACAUGAAUCACCUUGUAGUAGGUGCCUCUGAACUUCCAAAGCUAUUGUUUUCUUGUAUCUCUAGCAUGCUCACAUUUCAAUAAAUAUCUUGAACUACCAUCUUAAAGAACAGCAUUUGAAAGGUGUGUGAAGUCAAUCCUGUGUUGCUGUGAGGACACAACACUUUCAAAGUCAAGCAGCCAAAGCUGCCCUUCAAUGUUCACAGCCUAUUUUUAUACUGCCUUCAAAAGCCUCAUGUUUAAUUGGUUAGUAACUUUCUUGCCACUCAAUUCAUUGGUUCAUAGGUGCUCAUGUGUAUAUGUGCUAAGGCCCUCUUCUUCAGCAGAUGUUCGCAUUUUUUCUUCAUGGAUUCUCAUGGGAUAGACUUCUUAUUUUCACAGGUGUCGGACAGUUUUCAUGAGCAAUGGCUGAUGUGCUUGCAGGUUCUCAUGGGACAGGCUCGCUGUUAGCUAUACUUAUCUGAAGUAACAAGGCCUGAACCAUGGUCUUACAAGGCCUUUCUUUUGUAGGUUUUACCUAUGUGUGACACUCCUGCUUUGAUAAUUGCACACUGUAUUGAAAUGGGCAGUUCACCUCAAAUUAAUGGGUUGAUGUUUUGGAGGGAGUAAAACCCAAAGCUACAAUAAGCCUCUUAAACCGUAAUUUUCUGCUUUGCUGUCAGAAUCACCUACAGAUUGCCUGUCCACGCUAACAGACUGCUUGGUUUGUAUCAAUCUUUUCCAUAGUACCCAUGCUCUGAAAUACAGAUUUCUUUUCCCCCUGCCUGUGUGACAUUGUCUAAGGCGAGUUCCACUCCAGCCACAGAAACAAUGGGACAAGAGGAGCUCUGUCAAGAAAAACACUCACUGCUGCUGCUAUCAUUACUGCCACCCACCCAGAUGGGCUGCAGAUUUAUCAGGAGUGAAGGCAGCUGCUAAAGAUCCACAAGGAAUAAGGUGUCCUUGGCCUUAAACUGUUAGGACAGUUUACUCUUCACAAGCAUACUUCCUGUUUAGUUUGCAUUGUUCUUAAUAUCCGAGGCUAGGUGAGGUAACCUGUUUGGAAAGAAAUACUAUUAGCAUAAUCACUGUUUUAUUAAAGCAAUGCUGUGAAGGCAUGCUGUUGUCAUUUACAGACAAAUGAAAGAUGAGAUCUUUCUUGAGAUCUUUCUUACAUCAAAGAAAUCAACAUCUUCUUGUGUGUGGGUGCCACAACCCACACAGCUGGAAUAUUUUGGAGGACUAAAGUCUAAAUAACAUACUUUGUUCACGGAAGAACAUGACAUGUUCUUGUUCACAAGAACAUGACAAGUACCCAGUAAUGUGGUUAAUACACAGCAAUGCACCAACAUUCUGGCUUUCUCUAUAUGAUUCCUUCACUUGUCUCCAUUGCUGUAGUGAGUUGAGAGGGGUGAGUUACAGUUUAAAGGCUUUAUGGAAGAAAAUGUUAUAAACAAGUUUUAAGCUGACACAGCUGCAAUGAGACUGCAGAAGUACACAGAAGGCACUAACUCCACAAUGACUGGAUUUUCUAAAUAACUGGGAAAUUACUGUAAGACAUCUUUGUGUUCUUCCUCAUGAGCUUAUGUAUUCAAUUACAUGGCAGAAUUUUGACUUCAGACAAACAUUCUGUUCAUAAACUAUAUCUGUAAACAAAAAAGUAUAA
This is a long non-coding RNA of Taeniopygia guttata (zebra finch), 1732 nucleotides long. NCBI's taxonomy places the organism in Eukaryota, Metazoa, Chordata, Aves, Passeriformes, Estrildidae. The record is from Ensembl.